Molecule: long non-coding RNA, 1011 nt
Organism: Dermochelys coriacea (leatherback sea turtle)
Lineage: Eukaryota; Metazoa; Chordata; Testudines; Dermochelyidae
Exons: 2
Source: RefSeq, a predicted model, not a curated record
UCUGACUCACACAAUUGUCAAAACUUAAAGAGAUAAUUACUAAUGGGACAAAAAAGACAAAGGAGCUUGAAAGAGAAUGCUCAGAAAGCCCACACUAACUCUACCAAGAGCGAGGGACAUGUGCAAAGCUAGUGUUCAAGCUCAUAUUCAAAUGCAGAGCAUAAGUGGAGCAGACAGAGAUUAGUUUACCAAGUAGCCAAGGGAAAGAAUAAAAACUACAAGGAAAAAUACGCCAACAUAUGUGCAAAAGCAAAUGUACAAAUCACAAAGCAGAAGAGAGAAAAAAUGCUAAGGAAGACCUGGGGGUACUGUAGAGAAAAACAUGUUAAUGGAAAAUGCCAAGCAUCUGGGGUCUUGACAAAAUUAUGGAAUAAGAAAUUAUGCCAAGGCUUGCAGAAAAAAACAAAACAAAAAAGUAGUAUACCAGAUCAAGGAAGCAAGCAGUGACUCAGAGGAGGGGAGUCUGCACAUGACUAAUAUAUUGCGAAAGAGCAAAAUUAAAUGAUUUGUGAAGCUCAGACUAGCAGCAGAUGCAAAGAGAAGGCAGCAGCAUACAUGCAGGAAACUGAAUGUCAAAUAGAUGUGGAGGCAUCGGUGAAUGUGCUAGGCUAAAAAGAUUGGUAUUAUGCAAGAGAAGAAAGUGAAAUUUCAACCAAGUGAAGCCAAAUUAAAAUUAGGCAAGGCGUGAUCAUAAUACACUAGGACAGUGAAAAUUACGUGCAGAAUACCCAGGAAAAGCAAAUCAGGCAGAAAUUUCUGGUAGCACAAACAUAGAAACAGAAACCACUGCUUUGAGCUAGAACAAUUGAAGGCUGAAACCUGGGACAAACCAUUCAUACAACAGACACAAGCAAAAACAUACCCAGAGCAGACAAUGAACCAUGGCAGCCCUGCAGCAAAGCUCCCAAAAGAUUAUCAAGCUGGUUUUGAAGGACUGGGAUGUCAUAAAGGCAUGUCACACCCAGAAACAAAACAAUUCAGCCACUAUCAGCCUCACACAGUACAGUUUAA